AGUUGGUAGGGUAAAGGCCUACCAAGGCGACGAUCUAUAGCUGGUCUGAGAGGACGAUCAGCCACACUGGGACUGAGACACGGCCCAGACUCCUACGGGAGGCAGCAGUGGGGAAUAUUGGACAAUGGGCGCAAGCCUGAUCCAGCAAUACCGCGUGUGUGAAGAAGGCCUUAGGGUUGUAAAGCACUUUCAAUUGGGAGGAAAACCUGCCGGUCAAUACCCGGUAGCUUGACAUUACCUUUAGAAGAAGCACCGGCUAACUCCGUGCCAGCAGCCGCGGUAAUACGGAGGGUGCGAGCGUUAAUCGGAAUUACUGGGCGUAAAGCGUGCGUAGGCGGUUCGUUAAGUCAGAUAUGAAAGCCCUGGGCUCAACCUGGGAACGGCAUUUGAAACUGGCGGACUAGAGUUUAGUAGAGGGGAGUGGAAUUUCAGGUGUAGCGGUGAAAUGCGUAGAUAUCUGAAGGAACACCAGUGGCGAAGGCGACUCCCUGGACUAGAACUGACGCUGAGGUACGAAAGCGUGGGUAGCAAACAGGAUUAGAUACCCUGGUAGUCCACGCCGUAAACGAUGUCGACUAGCCGUUGGUCCUAUUUACAGGAUUAGUGGCGCAGCUAACGCAUUAAGUCGACCGCCUGGGGAGUACGGCCGCAAGGUUAAAACUUAAAUGAAUUGACGG
RNAcentral lists this ribosomal RNA (677 nucleotides) under uncultured Methylobacter sp. Its description in RNAcentral is "bacterial SSU rRNA". It matches the Rfam family "Bacterial small subunit ribosomal RNA", at positions 247 to 916 of the family's 1533-position model. The record is from RNAcentral. Lineage: Bacteria; Pseudomonadati; Pseudomonadota; Gammaproteobacteria; Methylococcales; Methylococcaceae.